Ruditapes philippinarum (Manila clam) is the source of this 511-nucleotide long non-coding RNA. RefSeq lists it as uncharacterized. Lineage: Eukaryota; Metazoa; Mollusca; Bivalvia; Venerida; Veneridae. The transcript has 3 exons. The record is from RefSeq and is a predicted model, not a curated record.
UAGUCCAGUCAGUCUGUAAAUCGACCUCAAACAAAUUGCAACAGAAAAUAUUUUACCUGGUAUAGAAAGUAUAUGGAAUAACAUGAAUCAUAUCAAAAGUCUAGCAAAAUCUAAGUUGCGCAACAUAGAAAAAAACGGGUUUUUAUCGCGUUAUUUUUGUGAUUUUUUUCUGACGACAACGGUCUUCCAUAGGCUAACAAAGCGUCUCCGAUACUCAGAAUAGCGACUGCAUAAUGGCGACAACAACAACAAAAUAAGUGUAAACAAAAUAAAUGUCAGUAAAGUACACUGUAAAGUGGGUUGGUAUAUUUUCCUUAAAAUAUUACAGAUCAUAAUAGGAAUUAUUAAUGUGGGGUCGGGUACCGCUUUGAGGUAGUCUUCAUUGAUGUAUGCUUGAUUUUGAAAAUAAAAAAAAAUCCAGUAAACUAUAUGUACACUAAAUGAAUUUCAUCAACACACCAGAGCCAAUUGUUAUGCCCGAUCAUGUGUUCUGAGGACACUGUGAUGUAUA